GAAUUUUCCGCAAUGGGCGCAAGCCUGACGGAGCAAUCCCGCGUGGAGGAUGACACCUUUCGGGGCGUAAACUCCUUUUCUGAGGGAAGAAAUUCUGACGGUACCUCAGGAAUAAGCACCGGCUAACUACGUGCCAGCAGCCGCGGUAAUACGUAGGGUGCAAGCGUUAUCCGGAAUCACUGGGCGUAAAGCGAUCGAAGGUGGACAAGAAGGUCUGGCGUUAAAUACCCACGGCUCAACCGGGGUGUCGUACUGGAAACCACUUGUCUGGAGGAAGACAGAGGCAGGUAGAAUUCCCAUUGUAGGGGUUAAAUCCGUAGAUAAUGGGAGGAAUACCAAAAGCGAAGGCAGCCUGCUGGGUCUUUCCUGACACUGCUCGAUCGAAAGCGUGGGGAGCGAAAGGG
RNAcentral lists this ribosomal RNA (404 nucleotides) under uncultured bacterium. RNAcentral's name for it is "bacterial SSU rRNA". It matches the Rfam family "Bacterial small subunit ribosomal RNA", at positions 359 to 776 of the family's 1533-position model. The record is from RNAcentral.